AAGUCUGACGGAGCACGCCGCGUGAGUGAUGAAGGUUUUCGGAUCGUAAAGCUCUGUUGUUAGGGAAGAACAAGUGCCGUUCAAAUAGGGCGGCACCUUGACGGUACCUAACCAGAAAGCCACGGCUAACUACGUGCCAGCAGCCGCGGUAAUACGUAGGUGGCAAGCGUUGUCCGGAAUUAUUGGGCGUAAAGGGCUCGCAGGCGGUUUCUUAAGUCUGAUGUGAAAGCCCCCGGCUCAACCGGGGAGGGUCAUUGGAAACUGGGGAACUUGAGUGCAGAAGAGGAGAGUGGAAUUCCACGUGUAGCGGUGAAAUGCGUAGAGAUGUGGAGGAACACCAGUGGCGAAGGCGACUCUCUGGUCUGUAACUGACGCUGAGGAGCGAAAGCGUGGGGAGCGAACAGGAUUAGAUACCCUGGUAGUCCACGCCGUAAACGAUGAGUGCUAAGUGUUAGGGGGUUUCCGCCCCUUAGUGCUGCAGCUAACGCAUUAAGCACUCCGCCUGGGGAGUACGGUCGCAAGACUGAAACUCAAAGGAAUUGACGGGGGCCCGCACAAGCGGUGGAGCAUGUGGUUUAAUUCGAAGCAACGCGAAGAACCUUACCAGGUCUUGACAUCCUCUGACAAUCCUAGAGAUAGGACGUCCCCUUCGGGGGCAGAGUGACAGGUGGUGCAUGGGUUGUCGUCAGCUCGUGUCGUGAGAUGUUGGGUUAAGUCCCGCAACGAGCGCAACCCUUGAUCUUAGUUGCCAGCAUUCAGUUGGGCACUCUAAGGUGACUGCCGGUGACAACCGGAGAAGGUGGGGAUGACGUCAAUCAUCA
This 821-nucleotide ribosomal RNA is filed under the name Bacillus velezensis. RNAcentral describes it as "bacterial SSU rRNA". It matches the Rfam family "Bacterial small subunit ribosomal RNA", at positions 379 to 1195 of the family's 1533-position model. The record is from RNAcentral. Lineage: Bacteria; Bacillati; Bacillota; Bacilli; Caryophanales; Bacillaceae. RNAcentral also lists the same sequence under 1 other name.